This is a long non-coding RNA of Oreochromis aureus, 1373 nucleotides long. RefSeq lists it as uncharacterized. NCBI's taxonomy places the organism in Eukaryota, Metazoa, Chordata, Actinopteri, Cichliformes, Cichlidae. The record is from RefSeq and is a predicted model, not a curated record. The transcript has 4 exons.
UUACCAAUGAAGUGAUGAAGAUUGUAACCAGAGGUGCCACAACGUCUGAUCCAGCCAGCGCAAGGAUCAUACUUGAAGGAACAGAAGUCCUAGCAGACCUGGAUGUACCCAGAGCCUGUGCCUUGCUAAUGGGGCUGAUAUAUGCACUCAACCUCAGCUACCCAAAAGAACUGAAAAACACUUUUGAAGUGUUUCAAAAGAUAUUCCUCGAGCUGGAUGAUCUGAAAGCCAGUCCUAAGGAAGAAUAAUGGGACAUUCAUUCAUUCAUGGUGGACCGUGUGUGUCUGGUAUAAGUCCUGCAAUCAUCCAUGUCCUUUUUGGUGGCUCACCUGAAACAGCUACGGUUCAGAUUGAGGAUUGCCCUGAUAUUGAUAUCCGCAGCACUAUUCAGCUGCUUGAUGGCACUGCUGAAUUAACAGAACUGCAACGAAGAAAUGUUCUCGAGCUAGCCCUGACUUGGGACCUGCCAGGUGUCACACAAACCAAUAGAAAGUGGCUGUAUGAACGUCUGCUAUUCCACGCUAAAAAUAAAAGAGCCGAGCGUCGACAGGCGGUGUCUUUGACUGGAUGUUACCUCGCUGUGAACACACAGGGUUCAUAUUUGAAGAUAGGAACCAACCAAAUAUUUGUUUUGUCAGACUGUAGAAUCUGAAUUUUGUGUGAACAACAAGGAGCCAUGGAUCCAGCCUGCCUUAGUACCAGCUGAGCAUCACAGCCUACCUCAGUGUUCUUGCUGACCAUGUCGUCUCUUUCAGACCACAUCUGCUGAUGGCUGCUUCCAGCAGGAUAACACACCACUGAUUUCAAACUUUUUCUUUAACAUUAUGAAUUCACUGCGAUCAGACGAUCGCCACAGUCACCCUAUGAAACACAAACCUUUAGGAUGUUCUGGAAAUCUUCAGUAACUUUGGGUAUUAUGUCAGUUUGGACCAAAAUAUCUGAGAAAUGUUUCCAGUAUAUUUUUUUUUAAAUCUAUGACAUGAAGAAGUGUAUUCAUAACCUUGCCCCUCCUUAUCUCUGUGAUCUGCUUUAUAUCACCACUGUUUCCUGCUCUCUCAGAUCUUCAUCUUGUUGCUCCUUCUCUCACCUUAUCACUGUGGGGCACAGAGCUUUCAGUCGCUCUGCUCCUCGGCUCUGAAACUCAAUUCCUUCAGUCCAAAGAAAUAUUGAUUCCCCUUUUUUAAGUCACAACUCAAAACCUACUUGUUUUAACUGGCUUCCUCACUUUAAUACUGAUUUUACUUGAUGUCAAAUCUUGUUUAUUUUAUGUGUGUUUUGUUUUUAUUUGUUGUUUUUUUGUAUUUUAAUUUAUUAGAGUCUAUUUUAAUCUACUGUUUUAUUGACAUCUUUGUCUCUUUUUAAGGUGACCUUGG